Long non-coding RNA from Magallana angulata, 1427 nucleotides. RefSeq lists it as uncharacterized. The transcript is spliced from 3 exons. Lineage: Eukaryota; Metazoa; Mollusca; Bivalvia; Ostreida; Ostreidae. The record is from RefSeq and is a predicted model, not a curated record.
CGAUUGCAAAAAUGACUGGCCGCAUUAACGUUUUGUAAUACCAUAAUUUCCUAACCUAAAUGAAUGGCAACUUCCUUCCGUUUGAGUGAUCUGACCACAAAGAUAAUUUAACAUGAAUGGACAUAAUCCUGGCAAACGUUAUUUAGAGGCAUGGGAACUAGACGAACUGUAUGCUAGAUGUAUAGAUCUUCCAGAGGACACAUACAACAAAUUCGUUCCUUUGAAAAAAAUGUGGCGAGAUAAACCGCGUCAUUAUUGGACAGAUAUUCUCUGGGAUAAAAAAGGGAAGAUGAUCCCUUACAUGAAAGAUUUGAACGGAGAUCAACGGUCAGCCAUCAAUGGAAACAUUAAAGGUUUAUUCUUUGGUUGCGGUUUCGAUCAAAAACGGAAAAAGCCCCCACAUUUUUCUUACUUUGGAGAUGAACGUCUACUUGUCAAUGCAGACUUCCUUUUCAACAACACGAAAAACUUAUACUUCGCAGAUUUUUAUUGCCACUAACAAAAUCACUAUGCGACUUUGGUUGUUACCAACCCUGGAUCGAGGCAAGAUCGGUUUUGCAUUGACAAUGAUCUACUUCAACUUGAUCUGUAUAACAAUAGGUUGCUUUAUCUCGACGAUUACAAUAACGAACACACAUCCGUGUGUGUCACCCUUGGGAUUCGGGUUGAGCUUUUUGUUACCGAAGGGAUAAAUCUUUUUUCAUUAUUCAAUGAAGGAAUAGGGCGAUUGGUUAACGUGAAACCACAAGGCCUGGGACACAGCCGUAAAAACGGAAUUUCUAAAAAAGAAAUCUGUAACAUUUGCAAUUUAUAUUGAAAAAUUGGAAGAAUAUAAUGUUUGCAAAGAUAUAGGCAACUAUAAAAUAAGUUCAGUUUACCAAAAAAUCAUUAAUAGGUAUCAUAUAAUGUGAUAAUAGAAGAAAAAAGUGUCUACUAAGCUAGAUGUCAUCAAAUAACAUUUAUAGUCUCAACUUCGUAAGAAAAAUGGUUUUGACAGACAGUAAGGUAGGACUUGAAAAGUAAGCUACGUUUACGUUCUGAAAAAUGGAAUUCCUAAAUUAAACAUCUGCGAAAUUUGCAAUUUAUAUUAAAAUAAAACCAAAGAAUUUAAUGUUGUCUAAAGGGAAAGCACGUUCUGCAGCGACUCCCUGAAGCCUUCUAGGUUCACAUUUGGCGUGCAUCGCAUAUUUUUUAUAUAUUUUGUUAAUGUAUGAAACACUGAUGAGUAUAAUUACACAAAGUUCAAAAAAGUAUUAAUUGUCAACUAUAUAUAUAUAUUUUCACCAGUCUAGCUUAGCCUUUUAAUGGUUAUGUAAACCCAAUUCCUUUUGAGAGUCGUCUGGACUUUCCCAGGGACCCAACCUUCUCAAAUAUGAAGACCAAAAUAUGGGAUACAGGGUGCUAGCCAGUCCUGUGAAUACCACUCU